UCUCCUGUGGUGCACACGGCAGCACACCCGGUUGUUACCCGGGAAGUCCAGGUUCGAGUCCUGGUGGGAGAG
Molecule: transfer RNA, 72 nt
Filed under: Actinophytocola xinjiangensis
Lineage: Bacteria; Bacillati; Actinomycetota; Actinomycetes; Pseudonocardiales; Pseudonocardiaceae
Description: Actinophytocola sp. QAIII60 tRNA
Rfam family: tRNA
About the family: Transfer RNA (tRNA) molecules are approximately 80 nucleotides in length.
Source: Rfam by way of RNAcentral